UUAACAGAGAGUUUGAUCCUGGCUCAGGAUGAACGCUGGCGGUGUGUCUAAGGCAUGCAAGUCGAACGAUCUCUUCGGAGAGAGUGGCAAACGGGAGAGUAACACAUUGGUAACCUACCCCAUACUCGGGCAUAAUCUUGCGAAAGCGGGACUAAUUCCCGAUGGACUCCAACUUCAUAAGUGUGUUGGAGUAAAGCUCCGGCGGUAUGGGAGGGGCCUAUGGCUUAUCAGCUUGUUGGUGAGGUAAAAGCUCACCAAGGCAACGACGAGUAGCGGGCGUGAGAGCGUGGCCCGUCUCACGGGGACUGAGAUACUGCCCUGACUCCUACGGGAGGCUGCAGUCAAGAAUCUUCCACAAUGGCCGAAAGGCUGAUGGAGCGACACCGCGUGCAGGAAGACGCCCUUCGGGGUGUAAACUGCUUUUAAGAGGGACGAACUAAUGACGGUACCUUUUGAAUAAGGGGUUGCUAACCUCGUGCCAGCAGCAGCGGUAAUACGAGGGCCCCAAGCGUUAUCCGGAUUUACUGGGCGUAAAGCGUCCGCAGGCGGUUUGGUAAGUUUUUAGUGAAAUACCGAGGCUCAACCUCGGGCCCGCUAAAGAUACUGCCAAACUAGAGACUGGAAGAGGUAAGCGGAACUGCCGGUGUAGCGGUAAAAUGUGUUAAUAUCGGCAGGAACACCAAAGGCGAAGGCAGCUUACUGGUACAGUUCUGACGCUAAUGGACGAAAGCGUGGGGAGCGAAAGGGAUUAGAUACCCCUGUAGUCCACGCCGUAAACGUUGAGUGCUAGAUAUUCGGAGUAUCGACCCUCUGAGUGUCGUUUAAAAAAGCUAACGCGUUAAGCACUCCGCCUGGGGAGUACGGCCGCAAGGCUAAAACUCAAAGGAAUAGACGGGGACCUGCACAAGCGGUGGAGCAUGCGGUUUAAUUCGAUGGUAAGCGAGGAACCUCACCAAGGUUUGACAUCUAGCUGCACGCCCUAAGAAAUUAGGGCUCCUUCGAGGGUGCUAGACAGGUGCUGCAUGGUUGCCGUCAGCUCGUGGCGUGAUCCAAUAAAAUCUCGCGCCCUUUACCAGUAAUGGUAAAGCAAAAUCUGGCUCAUAACGGUGAAGCUCUGAUAUAAUUAGAGUAAUACCGUGGGAAGUUAAAUUUUAUAUGCUUACACUUACAGCUAGAAAAAAUUUGAUUCUAAAAGUUACUAAACAACAAUCGGAUAUUUUGAUUGGAUGUAUUUUGGGCGAUGCCUACAUAACAAAAUCGGGAAAGAUACAAAUCGAACAAAGCGAUAAACAAAUCGAUUAUGUAAAUUGGAAAUACAAUCAACUUGAAAAAAUAUGUUAUGGCUUACCUAAAAAAGUAAUUAGAUACGACAAAAGAUAUAACAAAAAUUAUAUCUCGUAUCGAUUCUGGACUAGACAAUUUUUUCGCAACUGGAGAAAAAGAUUCUAUUUGGAAAAUAAAAAAAUAUUUCCUUUAGAAAGUAUCUCCCCAUUAACAUUAGCUGUAUGGUAUAUGGAUGAUGGAUGCUUGAAUGAAAAUAAAAGGAUUAUUCUAUCUACCGACAAUUUUAACGAGGAGGAUAGAACAAAAAUUAAAAAUCUUUUUAAAAAAGAUUUUGAUAUAGAUGUAUCCUAUAAAAAUAAAGGAAAAAUGAUUAUAGGAACAAAUGAAAGCAAAAAAUUCUUUAAAAUCAUUAAUCCAUAUACAAUCCCAUCAAUGAAAUAUAAAAUUUUAACCCCGUAACGACUGAACUCAUUAUGAGUGAGAUAGAAGAUACCUGAUAAUCAGGAAUCUAAACUUCUAUCAUACGCCAGCCCCUCAAUGUAUUGAGGGUGAAGGUAUAGUCUGACUUAAAUUUAUAAAUUUAAGCGGAGCUGUUCCCUUAAUUGGGGUAACGAGCGCAACCCCCAUCUUGUGUUGAAUUGUUCACAAGAAACUGCCCCGGGAUACGGGGAGGAAGGUGGGGACGACGUCAAAUCAGCAUGGCCCUUACACCUUGGGCUACACGCAUGCUACAAUGGCCGGUACAAUGGGCUGCCAAGUCGCAAGACGGAGCUAAUCCCAUCAAAACCGGCCUCAGUUCGGAUUGAGGUCUGCAACUCGACCUCAUGAAGUUGGAAUCGCUAGUAAACGCAAAUCAGCCUCGUUGCGUUGAAUACGUUCUCAGGUCUUGUACUCACAAAAUCUGCGCCGGGCAGGUUAUUUUACCAAGUGGUUAAAAUCCACUCCUCC
RNAcentral lists this ribosomal RNA (2232 nucleotides) under Patescibacteria group bacterium. Its description in RNAcentral is "bacterial SSU rRNA". The stretch from base 1 to 1252 matches the Rfam family "Bacterial small subunit ribosomal RNA". The record is from RNAcentral.